Herpailurus yagouaroundi (jaguarundi) is the source of this 351-nucleotide long non-coding RNA. RefSeq lists it as uncharacterized. NCBI's taxonomy places the organism in Eukaryota, Metazoa, Chordata, Mammalia, Carnivora, Felidae. The transcript has 2 exons. The record is from RefSeq and is a predicted model, not a curated record.
GGUCACGGCCAAGGCCGGGUGGGGAGCCUGGGCUCCAGUGAGCACGGAGCUCCGCGCCAGUGGGUGAAGCAAGUUGUCUCCGGGGCCCAGAGGACACCCGUGAGGACCCGGCACCAAUCAGAGCGUGGACGCCAAAAUCCUGACUCACCAUUUUUAGCUUUGGAAGAGGCAAGUCCAGCCCAAUAGUUUACAGACGAUUUGUUCUUCCUUCCAAACCUUCCUUCCAAGCCAAGGCUCUAUGCUCUGCAUGUUUCUGAGCAACUGCCCCAGAAAGGGCUGUUAGGUGAAAGGAUAACCCUGUUUCUUUGGCCUUUUCGUGCUGGACGAAUAAAGGAACUUUCAUUGCUGAGA